UCAGAUGGUCGGAUGGCCGCUCCCCGGUUUUCGGGGGGAGGAAAGUCCGGGCUCCAUGGAAAUGCGGUGCCGGAUAACGUCCGGCGGGGGCGACCCCAGGGAAAGUGCCACAGAAAGCAAACCGCCGGUCUUUUGCGGCGUCUUCGGACGACGCCGGCCGGCAAGGGUGAAAGGGUGCGGUAAGAGCGCACCGCGCGACCGGCAACGGAAGCGGCACGGUAAACCCCACCGGGAGCAAGACCAAGUAGGGAUGGUGUGCCGUCCGCCUUGAAAAGGGCGGCCGGCAAGGCGGAUUUCCACGCUGCCGUCCGGGGCGGUCGCGCGAGGCGUCCGGUAACGGGCGUCCCAGAUGAAUGGCCAUCCAUCCGUCUUCGGGCGGAGGACAGAACCCGGCUUACAGACCAUCUGACGCA
RNAcentral lists this RNase P RNA (413 nucleotides) under Telmatospirillum sp. RNAcentral's name for it is "RNase P RNA component class A". It matches the Rfam family "Bacterial RNase P class A". From Rfam's summary of the family: Ribonuclease P (RNase P) is a ubiquitous endoribonuclease, found in archaea, bacteria and eukarya as well as chloroplasts and mitochondria. Its best characterised activity is the generation of mature 5'-ends of tRNAs by cleaving the 5'-leader elements of precursor-tRNAs. The record is from RNAcentral. Lineage: Bacteria; Pseudomonadati; Pseudomonadota; Alphaproteobacteria; Rhodospirillales; Rhodospirillaceae.